GACGAACGCUGGCGGCGUGCUUAACACAUGCAAGUCGAACGGAAAGGCCCUGCUUUUGUGGGGUGCUCGAGUGGCGAACGGGUGAGUAACACGUGAGUAACCUGCCCUUGACUUUGGGAUAACUUCAGGAAACUGGGGCUAAUACCGGAUAGGAGCUCCUGCUGCAUGGUGGGGGUUGGAAAGUUUCGGCGGUUGGGGAUGGACUCGCGGCUUAUCAGCUUGUUGGUGGGGUAGUGGCUUACCAAGGCUUUGACGGGUAGCCGGCCUGAGAGGGUGACCGGCCACAUUGGGACUGAGAUACGGCCCAGACUCCUACGGGAGGCAGCAGUGGGGAAUAUUGCACAAUGGGCGGAAGCCUGAUGCAGCAACGCCGCGUGCGGGAUGACGGCCUUCGGGUUGUAAACCGCUUUCGCCUGUGACGAAGCGUGAGUGACGGUAAUGGGUAAAGAAGCACCGGCUAACUACGUGCCAGCAGCCGCGGUGAUACGUAGGGUGCGAGCGUUGUCCGGAUUUAUUGGGCGUAAAGGGCUCGUAGGUGGUUGAUCGCGUCGGAAGUGUAAUCUUGGGGCUUAACCCUGAGCGUGCUUUCGAUACGGGUUGACUUGAGGAAGGUAGGGGAGAAUGGAAUUCCUGGUGGAGCGGUGGAAUGCGCAGAUAUCAGGAGGAACACCAGUGGCGAAGGCGGUUCUCUGGGCCUUUCCUGACGCUGAGGGGCGAAAGCGUGGGGAGCGAACAGGCUUAGAUACCCUGGUAGUCCACGCUGUAAACGGUGGGUACUAGGUGUGGGGUCCAUUCCACGGGUUCCGUGCCGUAGCUAACGCUUUAAGUACCCCGCCUGGGGAGUACGGCCGCAAGGCUAAAACUCAAAGGAAUUGACGGGGCCCCGCACAAGCGGCGGAGCAUGCGGAUUAAUUCGAUGCAACGCGUAGAACCUUACCUGGGUUUGACAUGGAUCGGGAGCGCUCAGAGAUGGGUGUGCCUCUUUUGGGGUCGGUUCACAGGUGGUGCAUGGCUGUCGUCAGCUCGUGUCGUGAGAUGUUAGGUUAAGUCCCGCAACGAGCGCAACCCUUGUUCACUGUUGCCAGCACGUUAUGGUGGGGACUCAGUGGAGACCGCCGGGGUCAACUCGGAGGAAGGUGGGGAUGACGUCAAGUCAUCAUGCCCCUUAUGUCCAGGGCUUCACGCAUGCUACAAUGGCUGGUACAGAGAGUGGCGAGCCUGUGAGGGUGAGCGAAUCUCGGAAAGCCGGUCUCAGUUCGGAUUGGGGUCUGCAACUCGACCUCAUGAAGUCGGAGUCGCUAGUAAUCGCAGAUCAGCAACGCUGCGGUGAAUACGUUCCCGGG
This 1343-nucleotide ribosomal RNA is filed under the name uncultured bacterium. RNAcentral describes it as "16S ribosomal RNA". It matches the Rfam family "Bacterial small subunit ribosomal RNA", at positions 28 to 1378 of the family's 1533-position model. The record is from RNAcentral.